This 29-nucleotide non-coding RNA is filed under the name Homo sapiens (human). Lineage: Eukaryota; Metazoa; Chordata; Mammalia; Primates; Hominidae. The record is from RNAcentral.
GUACUUUAUGCAAAUAAUUGGGCCAAGUA